This 530-nucleotide ribosomal RNA is filed under the name uncultured Planctomyces sp. RNAcentral's name for it is "bacterial SSU rRNA". It matches the Rfam family "Bacterial small subunit ribosomal RNA", at positions 92 to 632 of the family's 1533-position model. Lineage: Bacteria; Pseudomonadati; Planctomycetota; Planctomycetia; Planctomycetales; Planctomycetaceae. The record is from RNAcentral.
GGAGCGGCGAACGGCGUAGUAAGACGUAGGAACGUACCCUCAGGACGGGGAUAGCUACGGGAAACUGUAGGUAAUACCCGAUAACCUCCGCGGAGCAAAGGUGUGAUUCCGCCUGAAGAGCGGCUUACGCGAUAUUAGCUAGUUGGUGGGGUAAUGGCCUACCAAGGCGAUGAUGUCUAGGGGGUGUGAGAGCAUGGCCCCCACGACCGGAACUGAGAUACUGUCCGGACACCUACGGGUGGCUGCAGUCGAGAAUCUUCCGCAAUGGACGAAAGUCUGACGGAGCGACGCCGCGUGCGGGAUGAAGGCCCUUGGGUUGUAAACCGCUGUCAGAGGGGAUGAAAUCUUCGGAGGUACUCCUCCGAAGUUGACAGAGCUUCAAAGGAAGCACGGGCUAAGUACGUGCCAGCAGCCGCGGUAACACGUACUGUGCGAACGUUAUUCGGAAUCACUGGGCUUAAAGGGUGCGUAGGCGGCGAUUCAAGUCAGAUGUGAAAUGCCUGAGCUCAACUGAGGCAUUGCGUUUGAAA